AAACUUAAAUAUUUAGGUUCUAUGCUAUAGGCGCACUUUAGUAAAUAUAUAAUUUUGGUUAAGACGUUUUCUAUUAUUUACUAGUAUCUUGUUAAUUUAGAAAAUUAUGACGCUUUAAAAAUUAGCAAUAGUUUUGUGUGAAUAGAUGGCCCAAUAGAGUGCCAGCAGGCGUGGUUAGACUGAACAUCUACUAUAGCUCAUUUUGUAUGUUGAUUUAACUUUUAAGUGUAGAAAUACUGGUAAAAUAGGCAUUUCUUCAAAUUAGGUUAAUUAAUAUGAGUCACUUUAAAGACAAGGAUUAGAUACCCUUUUAUGUGUGAUGAUAAACAAAAAGAUAAUUUAAUUAAAAAUUCAAACAAUUUGGCGGUGAGAAAAGAACUUAGGGAAACCUGGGGAUUAAUUGGAUGAUCCACCAUUAUUAUGUCUUAGUAUGUAUGUUACCUGUAUGUCUGUUUAGAUUAUCGUUAGAUCUUUAGUCUUUUGUUUUUACAAAACUUGAGUUCAGGUCGAUAUAGGGAUAGUUACUAAGGUCUUCUGGGUUGCAUUUAAGAUUAUUGAUAGUUUUUAUAUUACAAAACUUAAUCUGGACUUAAAAGUAAACUUUUAUGUACAUAAGUUGAAUUUUGCUUUUCUUAAGUACAAAUCGCCCGUCGCCUCUGUUACAAAAAAAACUGAGUAAGUCGAAACAAAGUAGGUUGGCUGGGAGGGUAACCUGUAAG
RNAcentral lists this non-coding RNA (719 nucleotides) under Brachionus forficula. Lineage: Eukaryota; Metazoa; Rotifera; Eurotatoria; Ploima; Brachionidae. The record is from RNAcentral.